GUUCAGCUGCCUAGCAAGGUAAAACCACCACAGAUGCACAUGUAGCAACAGCCACCUGGUUAGUCUGCCAAUUGAGCUAGCCCUGCCCAAUCAAAAUUCCUACACACACAGAAAGGGAUAAAGUCCUUGCAGUGCAUAUAUAAGAAAACAAACAAACAAAAAACAGCAAACACCUACUGGGCAAGACGGUCUGACUUAUUCCUGCCUCAGGCAAAGGCAAAGCCAUCCGUGGGAUUGCUUUUGCUCAAGGACCUGGGUGCACUUGGCGGGUAAUGCAGAAGUAUGGGGCAGUCUGAAAACCCUCCAGGGUGUCUGGGGUGAGAAUAGGCAGUCCUUUGAGUUGUUCAGUGUUAGUUGCUGUAUAAUGCUGUAUGUCAUCUGCAGUUGCUAUAUGUCAACCAAGCAGCAUUACAGGAAGAGUUGCUCGGAUUAACGAAGAAUGACAGCACAUGCACAGACAUGCGGGGCUUUCCUUGCAUGCAGGGAUCACUGUGCCCGCGCGCAUACACGCCCACCCACCCCAGCUUUCGGCAAGUCCUCCCCCACCCGGCCUCAGCACGCAGGCAGCCCUGCUGCCCGGGACUUCCACGAUCCUAGGGACUCCUGCUUGCACUCACCUUCUUCCUUGCCGUAGCCCCAGCAACGCCCAGUAACCUCACCAUGCUCCAAGGUUUCUCUUAAGACCUUUCCGGACCCAGCUUGGCUGCCCCAAGCAGCAAAGGGGCCGCAAGGCAGACCAACUGCAACUACAGCCUCUUCCUCCUCCACUAGCCCCACAGUUGCCACCUGCACCCAGGUGCAGCCCUUUUACAAGGAGGGGCUGCUACUGAUCACCACCCUCAUUGGCCACACCUGGGGCUCCAGUGACUGGGGGUCCAGUGACAGGUUUUUAUCAUCUUUUCCUAAUCUUCCCAAAUGUGCCAGUUCUCUGGGAUUAAACUCGUCUUUCCGCACACAAGCUUUACUAUUUCAGAUUAUUAAUGAGCCCCGUUCCAGUCAUAAAUCCACAGGACUUCAGGAAAACACCUGAAGCACCCAGCCCCCCGUCUUUUAGACAAACAAUACCACCUUUUCCACAAAAUUUGCAUUCCAACGGGACCGAAUUUCAAGCCGAAUGGCAAUUUUUCUCAUGCACUUUGUUAGUAAGCCCACACGAAACAAGGAAUCACUCCUACGUAUCCGUCAAUAUGGGGGUUUAAAAAGGUAUUGAGGCCUAAGUAAAUUCGCCCUCCCCCUUUCUUACCAAAUUCCCAGGGCUCAAGCCCGAACCACCAAAGAAGUGACUCUCUCUGUUCUACCGCUUUGAUAAUCAGUCAGCCCCUCUCCCCCGAUACUUGGGAAACCGACCAAACACCGCAGUGAAUAUACCCAAACUUCUGAACUGUUACCUAGAUAAUGCUCCCGCCUUCCUCCUUGUCACACUCAAAGCAUUUAAGA
Long non-coding RNA from Oxyura jamaicensis (ruddy duck), 1437 nucleotides. RefSeq lists it as uncharacterized. Lineage: Eukaryota; Metazoa; Chordata; Aves; Anseriformes; Anatidae. The transcript is spliced from 2 exons. The record is from RefSeq and is a predicted model, not a curated record.